GACGAACGCUGGCGGCGUGCUUAACACAUGCAAGUCGAACGGAAAGGCCCUGCUUUUGUGGGGUGCUCGAGUGGCGAACGGGUGAGUAACACGUGAGUAACCUUCCCUUUACUUUGGGAUAACUUCAGGAAACUGGUGCUAAUACCUGCUAGGAGCUCCUGCUGCAUGGUGGGGGUUGGACAGUUUCGGCGGUUGGGGAUGGACUCGCGGCUUAUCAGCUUGUUGGUGGGGUAGUGGCUUACCAAGGCUUUGACGGGUAGCCGGCCUGAGAGGGUGACCGGCCACAUUGGGACUGAGAUACGGCCCAGACGCGUACGGGAGGCAGCAGUGGGGAAUAUUGCACAAUGGGCGGAAGCCUGAUGCAGCAACGCCGCGUGCGGGAUGACGGCCUUCGGGUUGUAAACCGCUUUCGCCUGUGACGAAGCGUGAGUGACGGUAAUGGGUAAAGAAGCACCGGCUAACUACGUG
Molecule: ribosomal RNA, 468 nt
Filed under: uncultured bacterium
Lineage: Bacteria
Description: partial 16S ribosomal RNA
Rfam family: Bacterial small subunit ribosomal RNA
Source: RNAcentral